Puma concolor (puma) is the source of this 668-nucleotide long non-coding RNA. RefSeq lists it as uncharacterized. The record is from RefSeq and is a predicted model, not a curated record. Lineage: Eukaryota; Metazoa; Chordata; Mammalia; Carnivora; Felidae.
ACACAGUCAAAUGUGCACAGUAUUAGAAGUUUGCCAAGAGCACAUCCUUGUGUCUGCCAAGGAGUGUCUGUUAGAGGAAGAGUAUUCUAGCAGACGAUGUUCAGAGGAGAAAUGGACCACCCCAGGAGGCAGCAAACCCCUUGUCUCUGAGUUUCCUCAUUUGAGAAUGGGAAGAAAGAUACUGACCCACCUUGAAGAAUUUCCGUGAGGACCCAGUAAGAAGACGGGCUGAAAACAUUUCGAAAACCCUACGAAGACCAAAGUUGUCAUUUCAAGAAGGAAUUCAUUCAGCGGCAGAUAAGUCGCCCAGUUUCGAAUCUUGCUUCUACCUGUCUCCAGCUGCGUUCCAAGGAUGAAAUGGAGUAUUUUUUUUUUUUUGAGAAUUUGUUUUCCAUCUUUAAAAUGGGAGCAAAAGGAAUAUCCACCUCUUAACAUUUCUGCGAAGAUGGUGUGAAAUUGUGUUCAGUCCAAGAGGCAGCCUGCCACAUGAGGAAUGUUUCUGCGUCAUUUCCAAAACAGCUGUGGAAGAUGUCGCUCCGGGCCACCAGUGCGAAAGACCAUGAGAAAACGGCCCGAGCCCUUGAGGAAAGGCGCUCUUUCAUGGUGCAUUGGGGUUUGUGAUGUCAGAGCACAAGAGUUGUGUGGUUCACUUUUUGCUUUGGCUUUCC